GACGAACGCUGGCGGCGUGCUUAACACAUGCAAGUCGAACGGAAAGGCCCUGCUUUUGUGGGGUGCUCGAGUGGCGAACGGGUGAGUAACACGUGAGUAACCUGCCCUUGACUUUGGGAUAACUUCAGGAAACUGGGGCUAAUACCGGAUAGGAGCUCCUGCUGCAUGGUGGGGGUUGGAAAGUUUCGGCGGUUGGGGAUGGACUCGCGGCUUAUCAGCUUGUUGGUGGGGUAGUGGCUUACCAAGGCUUUGACGGGUAGCCGGCCUGAGAGGGUGACCGGCCACAUUGGGACGGAGAUACGGCCCAGACUCCUACGGGAGGCAGCAGUGGGGAAUAUUGCACAAUGGGCGGAAGCCUGAUGCAGCAAUGCCGCGUGAGUGAUGAAGGCCUUAGGGUUGUAAAGCUCUUUUACCCGGGAUGAUAAUGACAGUACCGGGAGAAUAAACUCCGGCUAACUCCGU
Molecule: ribosomal RNA, 462 nt
Filed under: uncultured bacterium
Lineage: Bacteria
Description: partial 16S ribosomal RNA
Rfam family: Bacterial small subunit ribosomal RNA
Source: RNAcentral